RNAcentral lists this ribosomal RNA (813 nucleotides) under Ceratosphaeria lampadophora. RNAcentral describes it as "partial large subunit ribosomal RNA". It matches the Rfam family "Eukaryotic large subunit ribosomal RNA", at positions 71 to 912 of the family's 3401-position model. The record is from RNAcentral. Lineage: Eukaryota; Fungi; Ascomycota; Sordariomycetes; Magnaporthales; Ceratosphaeriaceae.
GGGAUUGCCCCAGUAACGGCGAGUGAAGCGGCAACAGCUCAAAUUUGAAAUCUGGCCCCCCGGGUCCGAGUUGUAAUUUGCAGAGGAUGCUUUCGGUGCGGCCCCUUCUGAGUCCCCUGGAAUGGGGCGCCAUAGAGGGUGAGAGCCCCGUAUAGUCGGACGCCAAACCGGUGUAAAGCUCCUUCGACGAGUCGAGUAGUUUGGGAAUGCUGCUCAAAAUGGGAGGUAAAUUUCUUCUAAAGCUAAAUACCGGCCAGAGACCGAUAGCGCACAAGUAGAGUGAUCGAAAGAUGAAAAGCACUUUGAAAAGAGGGUUAAACAGCACGUGAAAUUGUUGAAAGGGAAGCGCUUGUGACUAGACUCGCGCCGGGCGGAUCAUCCAGCGUUCUCGCUGGUGCGCUCCGCCCGGCCCGGGCCAGCAUCGGUUUCCGCUGGGGGACAAAGGCUCCGGGAACGUAGCUCUCUUCGGGGAGUGUUAUAGCCCGGUGCGUAAUACCCCGGCGGGGACCGAGGACCGCGCUUCGGCAAGGAUGCUGGCGUAAUGGUCAUCAGCGACCCGUCUUGAAACACGGACCAAGGAGUCAAGCAUUAGGGCGAGUGUUUGGGUGUAAAACCCGCACGCGUAAUGAAAGUGAACGUAGGUGAGAGCUUCGGCGCAUCAUCGACCGAUCCUGAUGUAUUCGGAUGGAUUUGAGUAGGAGCCUUAACGCUUGGACCCGAAAGAUGGUGAACUAUGCCUGUAUAGGGUGAAGCCAGAGGAAACUCUGGUGGAGGCUCGCAGCGGUUCUGACGUGCAAAUCGAUCGUCAAAUAU